RNAcentral lists this transfer RNA (86 nucleotides) under Coriobacteriales bacterium. RNAcentral describes it as "tRNA-Leu". It matches the Rfam family "tRNA". From Rfam's summary of the family: Transfer RNA (tRNA) molecules are approximately 80 nucleotides in length. The record is from RNAcentral. Lineage: Bacteria; Bacillati; Actinomycetota; Coriobacteriia; Coriobacteriales.
GUCGGUGUGGCGGAACGGCAGACGCGCUAGCUUGAGGGGCUAGUGUCCGCAAGGACGUGAGGGUUCAAAUCCCUCCACCGACACCA